This 252-nucleotide ribosomal RNA is filed under the name uncultured bacterium. Its description in RNAcentral is "partial 16S ribosomal RNA". It matches the Rfam family "Bacterial small subunit ribosomal RNA", at positions 524 to 776 of the family's 1533-position model. The record is from RNAcentral.
UACGUAGGGAGCAAGCGUUGUCCGGAAUCAUUGGGCGUAAAGCGCGCGUAGGUGGCUUCGUAAGUCCGUUGUGAAAGUCAAAGGCUCAACCUUUGAAAGCCGAUGGAUACUGCGGAGCUAGAGUACGGAAGAGGCGAGUGGAAUUCCGCGUGUAGCAGUGAAAUGCGUAGAUAUGCGGAGGAACACCGAUGGCGAAGGCAAUCCCCUGGACCUGUACUGACGCUCAUGCACUAAAGCGUGGGAGCAAACAGG